RNAcentral lists this long non-coding RNA (631 nucleotides) under Prunus persica (peach). RNAcentral's name for it is "long non-coding RNA (PPER_LNC008565)". Lineage: Eukaryota; Viridiplantae; Streptophyta; Magnoliopsida; Rosales; Rosaceae. The record is from RNAcentral.
UUGCAUUUGGUUUUGACAAAGGAACCAUUGUGGUUAAAAUGAAUGGCUCUCAUACUUGGGAUUCUGUUGACCUCCAAGCUUAGAAGGAAGGGUUGAAGGAAUAAAGACAUCGAAUGCUGCGCGAUUUGUACUGUGUUCUCCGAAGUAAUUAGACUAAAGGAAUAAUUAAUUUCACUUAAAACUUGCUGCUCCUGCUUUUACUGUUGUAUGAUUUGCAAAUAAAACUUAUCUUUGUGUGUUUUGUAGUAUAUCCCAUGAGGGAACAUGUUGUAAGGAUCAAUCGAAAUUGAAUGUUAUAUGUGUUCUUUAACAAAUUACACUGGUGCAUAUAGUAGAUUCAGUAAAAUACAUAUGUAAACUGCAAAUUACCAGUAAUAAAACCCUUUAUGUUCUUCCCAGAAAUUUAGUUGGUGACUGCUGUUUACUGGUGCUGAAUAAAUUUGGUGAAAAUAAUAGAAAUCUUGCCAUACAAGGAAAAAGACGGAAGGCUAGACAGGACUCUAGGAAAUUCCAGCCUCAAAUCCAAAGGGUCUCAACCAGAAGUUUUAAAGACUAAGAUUAGAACUCUCAAAUGUAUUAAAAGCACGAUCUGCAUGAAGAACAUACAAGAAUGCUCUCUCUUGUCCACAAC